This 582-nucleotide ribosomal RNA is filed under the name Arsenophonus endosymbiont of Bemisia tabaci. RNAcentral describes it as "partial 23S ribosomal RNA". It matches the Rfam family "Bacterial large subunit ribosomal RNA", at positions 152 to 775 of the family's 2925-position model. The record is from RNAcentral. Lineage: Bacteria; Pseudomonadati; Pseudomonadota; Gammaproteobacteria; Enterobacterales; Morganellaceae.
CGUUUGAUGAAUUCAUAGUCAAACGAGGCGAACCGGGGAAACUGAAACAUCUCAGUACCCCGAGAAAAAGAAAUCAACCGAGAUUCCCCCAGUAGCGGCGAGCGAACGGGGAGCAGCCCAGAGUCAACAUCAAUAUUUACCACAGGAGAAGGGUCUGGAAAAGCCGGCAAUAAAGGGUGAUAGCCCCGUAUCUAAAGCGGUAAGUGUUGUGAACUCGAAGAGUAGGGCGGGACACGUGUUAUCCUGUCUGAAUAUGGGGGGACCAUCCUCCAAGGCUAAAUACUCCUGACUGACCGAUAGUGAACCAGUACCGUGAGGGAAAGGCGAAAAGAACCCCGGCGAGGGGAGUGAAAUAGAACCUAAAACCGUGUACGUACAAGCAGUAGGAGCACCCGAAAGGGUGUGACUGCGUACCUUUUGUAUAAUGAGUCAGCGACUUAUAUUCUGUAGCAAGGUUAACCGCAUAGGGGAGCCGUAGGGAAACCGAGUCUUAACUGGGCGUUAAGUUGCAGGGUAUAGACCCGAAACCCGGUGAUCUAGCCCUUAGUCUGUUGAAGGUUGGGUAACACUAACUGGAGGACC